This 565-nucleotide ribosomal RNA is filed under the name uncultured archaeon. RNAcentral's name for it is "bacterial SSU rRNA". It matches the Rfam family "Archaeal small subunit ribosomal RNA", at positions 326 to 895 of the family's 1478-position model. The record is from RNAcentral.
CGGGGUGCAGCAGGCGCGAAAACUUUACAAUGCUGGCAACAGCGAUAAGGGGACCUCGAGUGCCAGGAUACAAUCUUGGCUGUCGCGAUGCCUAAAAAGCAUUGCAUAGCAAGGGCCGGGCAAGACCGGUGCCAGCCGCCGCGGUAACACCGGCGGCUCGAGUGGUAACCGCUAUUAUUGGGUCUAAAGGGUCUGUAGCCGGCCGGAUAAGUCUUUUGGGAAAUCCAGCUGCUCAACAGUUGGGCUUUCAGAAGAUACUGUUCGGCUCGAGACCGGGAGAGGUGAGAGGUACUUCAGGGGUAGGGGUGAAAUCUUGUAAUCCUUGAAGGACCACCAGUGGCGAAGGCGUCUCACCAGAACGGAUCUGACGGCAAGGGACGAAAGCUAGGGGCACGAACCGGAUUAGAUACCCGGGUAGUCCUAGCCGUAAACGAUACUCGCUAGGUGUCAGCCACGGUGCGACCGUGGUUGGUGCCGUAGGGAAGCCGUGAAGCGAGCCACCUGGGAAGUACGGCCGCAAGGCUGAAACUUAAAGGAAUCGGCGGGCGAGCACAAGGGCGAAUCG